This 253-nucleotide ribosomal RNA is filed under the name uncultured bacterium. Its description in RNAcentral is "partial 16S ribosomal RNA". It matches the Rfam family "Bacterial small subunit ribosomal RNA", at positions 524 to 776 of the family's 1533-position model. The record is from RNAcentral.
UACGUAGGGUGCGAGCGUUAAUCGGAAUUACUGGGCGUAAAGCGUGCACAGGCGGCGCGUUAAGACAGGUGUGAAAGCCCCGAGCUUAACUUGGGAAUUGCACUUGUGACUGGCGUGCUGGAGUGUGGCAGAGGGAGGUGGAAUUCCACGUGUAGCAGUGAAAUGCGUAGAGAUGUGGAGGAACACCGAUGGCGAAGGCAGCCUCCUGGGCCAGCACUGACGCUCAUGCACGAAAGCGUGGGGAGCAAACAGG